ACUCAAAUGAAUAGACGGGGGCCCGCACAAGCGGCGGAGCAUGCGGAUUAAUUCGAUGCAACGCGAAGAACCUUACCUGGGUUUGACAUGCGCCGGAAAGCUCUAGAGAUAGAGCCCCUUUUAGUCGGUGUACAGGUGGUGCAUGGCUGUCGUCAGCUCGUGUCGUGAGAUGUUGGGUUAAGUCCCGCAACGAGCGCAACCCUCGUCCCAUGUUGCCAGCAGCGCCUUCGGGCGGCUGGGGACUCAUGGGAGACUGCCGGGGUCAACUCGGAGGAAGGUGGGGAUGACGUCAAGUCAUCAUGCCCCUUAUGUCCAGGGCUUCACGCAUGCUACAAUGGCCGGUACAAAGGGCUGCGAUCCCGUGAGGGGGAGCGAAUCCCAAAAAGCCGGUCUCAGUUCGGAUUGGGGUCUGCAACUCGACCCCAUGAAGUCGGAGUCGCUAGUAAUCGCAGAUCAGCAACGCUGCGGUGAAUACGUUCCCGGGCCUUGCACACACCGCCCGU
RNAcentral lists this ribosomal RNA (503 nucleotides) under uncultured bacterium. RNAcentral's name for it is "partial 16S ribosomal RNA". It matches the Rfam family "Bacterial small subunit ribosomal RNA", at positions 899 to 1397 of the family's 1533-position model. The record is from RNAcentral.